CCAAAAAAAAAAAAAGAUAAAAAAAGAAAGAAGAAGAGGGCAAAGACAGUGCAGUGGCGAGAAGGACUGAAGGAGGCUGAAGGCAAAGAGAAAGAACUAAAAGAAGAAAAAGAAGAAGAAUGCAAAGCCCAAGUCCUCAACGGAGGCAGAGAGAGUGAGAGAGAGAGAGAGAGAGUCACCUGUGUAAGUCUGUAAGAAAGAUUUUUUUUCUGUUCUGCAAGACUGCUGCAACUGUGUGGCCGUGUGGGAGAGACAAAGUUUCAGACUUUUCAAUAUUUUUGCUGUGUACAAGCUAGCUCCAGUGAAAACAGAUUGUACUGAAAAGAAACCCAAAGCUGCUUCCAACAACAACAAAAAAAAUCAGGCACGUGAAAGAGGAAGUAUCUGCUGAGGUGGUUCAAUCACUAUGGAGUCAUGUAAUUGCAUUGAGCCGAAAUGGCCGGCUGAUGAAUUGUUGAUGAAGUACCAAUAUAUUUCAGAUUUCUUCAUUGCACUUGCUUAUUUCUCUAUCGCUCUAAAACUGAUCUACUUUGUCAAGAAAUCGGCAGUGUUUCCAUAUAGAUGGCCGGCCCUUGUUCAGUUUGGUGCUUUCAUAGUGUUGUGUGGGGCAACGCACCUCAUUAAUUUAUUGACUUAUACCAUGCAUUCGAAAACUGUGGCGAUAGUAAUGACCACUGCAAAGGUUUUGACUGCUGUGGUUUCAUGUGCAACUGCCCUCAUGCUUGUGCGUAUUAUUCCUGAUUAAACCAGAGAACUGUUCUUGAAAAACAAGGCUGCAGAGCUUGAUAGAGAAAUGGGCUUGAUUCGUACACAAGAAGAAACAGGCCGUCAUGUGGUUCACCCAUGAGAUCAGAAGCACCCUGGAUAGGCAUACUAUACUGAAAACCACUCUUGUUGAACUGGGUAGAACUUUGAUGUAUGCAUGCGCUAUACAUUUUCAGAUGGGAAAACAUAUCAGCUAUGAAUAUCUUAUGUGAUGUUUUCAUAUAAUGGUAAAGAAGCUGAGUCCUAGACAUCCUGAAUGACCCUUGAUGCUAGAUGUGUGAAUGGAACUAAGAAUUGCUUUUGAAA
Long non-coding RNA from Quercus robur (English oak), 1071 nucleotides. RefSeq lists it as uncharacterized. Lineage: Eukaryota; Viridiplantae; Streptophyta; Magnoliopsida; Fagales; Fagaceae. The transcript has 3 exons. The record is from RefSeq and is a predicted model, not a curated record.